Molecule: small RNA, 1588 nt
Filed under: Arabidopsis thaliana (thale cress)
Lineage: Eukaryota; Viridiplantae; Streptophyta; Magnoliopsida; Brassicales; Brassicaceae
Description: ATSL110610
Source: RNAcentral
UUUUACUUUAUCAGGUAUACAAAAGGGACUAGAUCAUAACCCGUGCUGGAUAGCACGGGCAUUAAUAUUUUGUAUAAAUUAAAUUGUAUUCUUUGUUUGAAUUACAUAAGAAAUAGUAUAGUAUAAAAGUGAUGCCAUAAUAUUUUUCAAUGUUUUUACUAUUUGCAUAUAAUGCUGCAUUGAAUUGACUUUUUUUAAAAAUGUUAUUUUUAUAAUAAAUACAACAUAUGUAGUUUUAAGUAAAUGUGUAAAAUUUAUAUACAAGUUGUUUUGGUAAGAAACAUGUUUCUUUUGUAUUAUAGGAUCUAAUUUUUGGCCUAACUUAAAAUUAGUCUUUGUAUAGUAUUUUGGUUAUACUAUUUGUGGACCUAAUUGGGGCCUAUAUUAGAUUAUCUUUGAUAGGGCUGACGAAAAAACGGACCUGAUAACCAACCCAAUAAUUGAACCAAAAACAGGGUUAGGGCGGGUUAAAAUUUUAGGAAAUUUCCUUAUUGGGUAGAGUUUUAGUAAAACCGUGGAUAUCCGAUUGGUCCGGAAAUUACUCGUUAUCCAAAAAGAGUAUUCAAAAACCCAAACAUUAAUUUAAUAUCCAAAAUAUUAAUUAUAUUUAAUCGUAAUAUUAUCUAAUUAUCUAAGAUUAUAAUUAUAAGUCUAAAUAUGUCAAUUAAUUUUGGACCUAAAUAUCCAAAACAACUAAACUAUUCAAAAAUUAUUUGUUAUGUUUGUCAAAAUUUAGUAAAAUAUAUUCAAAUAUAAUUAAAUUUAUUAAAACUUAACAAAUGUAAAAGUUUUUUUUGUUUGAAGACCCGCUAUCUACAUACAAAUUUCCUGUUUCUAUUUUUUUGGGUAUUUUUUGGGUCUGAAACUUUUUAUCCAAACUGACCCAAACCCAACUGGAUCCGACCCAAACCAGAACGGAAUAUUUAGAAUUAUUCUAUUGGGUAGUAAAUCAUAUACCCAUUAAUCCCAAACCCAAACGGGUUCUACUCGAACACGAAUGGGUUACUCAUAGGCUUAUAUUUUAGUUAAACUAAAAACUUUUAUUGUAAAGAUGAUUAUAAAUAUAUGAUAUUAUUUUAUUUGAUUUUAAAUGCAUAGUAAACUGCGAGUUGUAUAUGUUUUGUUGAUAUUAUUUAUAUUGUUUAGUGUUUAAAAUUAUACACUUGUAUUUUGAUUGUUAAUUUUAGAGUUUCACCUCUAGUAUACCAUCUUGUAUUAAUAUCGAUUUAAACCCGUCAAUUCUACGAUUUUCCAGCUUGUAUUAAAAAUUGAAUCACAUCAUACACAUAAAAAAAUCUAAUAUGUUAUUAAUUAUUGUAGUAUAUAAGAUUAUAAAUUUUUAAAAUAAUAUGUAUGAAAUUGAAUAUAAAUAUUCAAAUUAUGACUCAUUACUCAGUAGAAAAUUUUCUUAAAUCUAUUUUUGACCCGUUACAAUAUUUUUUUCAUGUAUUGAACAGUUUAUAUUCGUUUUUAAAAAUUCAAAUUAUGGCAAAUGCGAAAAAACUAUAAUUAUUUUUUAUAACGAUGAUAUUAUCUUUUCGCAAAAAUAGAAUCAUAUAAAGAUGAGAGGUGAACUAUAAUAAUUAUU